Chlorocebus sabaeus (green monkey) is the source of this 834-nucleotide long non-coding RNA. RefSeq lists it as uncharacterized. Lineage: Eukaryota; Metazoa; Chordata; Mammalia; Primates; Cercopithecidae. The record is from RefSeq and is a predicted model, not a curated record.
AUCCAGUGCAUUGGCGGCACCAUGGGACCAGAAGGCGGUGACUCCCCCGGACCCAGCUUUCACUAUCUUGUGUGUGUCUAUUAUUUCUCGACCUGCCGAUCUGCCUGGGAACAAAGAGAGAGCCCCGUUGCACUGUGGGCUGCUGGCCAGAUCCCACAAUAGUGAUGAUGAACCAUUAUGCAACAGAACCCCAAUACAGACUCCGACUAAGGCUUCUCUUUUAUUCUUGCCUUCUGUCUCUGGACCAUCUUGUGUCCCUGUGAAGCACGGGAUGUACCCUUCCUUUGUGAAAUGAAGACACAGCAACAAGGUACCAUCUAGGAAGCAGAAAGCAUCCCUCACAAGGCACUGAACCUGCUGACUCCUUGGUUUUGGACUUCCAAGCCUCUAGAACCACGAAGAAGAAAUUUGGUGAAUGUACAUAUGCAGCAGUUAAACAAGUCUGAAGAAAAUAUUUCAAGAUUCUAGUCCAGGUGACAUUUGUCGAUGGCCUGCUAGCCUUUCAUCAUACGUAGCAGUGGAGCCUCUUCGUGAUGUGGAUCACAGAUGAGGAGAACUAAGACAGUGCACUAUGUGCAAGAAUUCAGACCACAGGAAAUCAUGCCAUCUGGAACUGCUAAAUGGCCAGCAGAAACUUCACAGAGAAGCAAGAUUCAGUGAUAUGCUUUGGAUCACCAUGUAAAAUAAGUCCGAUGCCACCAAAAAGCAAGAGAGAAAUGGAACACUAAGCUGGAAUUUUCACAGGAAAUUAUAAUUAUAAUCUUAAAAAACCACUGAGUACUUUUCCUUGUUCUACUGAAAUAUAUUAACUCUAAAUAAACAAACCAAACCGAA